Molecule: long non-coding RNA, 368 nt
Filed under: Helianthus annuus (common sunflower)
Lineage: Eukaryota; Viridiplantae; Streptophyta; Magnoliopsida; Asterales; Asteraceae
Description: sRNA HanXRQr2_Chr01g0008561
Source: RNAcentral
AUGCAAUUAUGGUUUGCUUCUGCAGUUAUGUUUAAGGUCUAGGAUGCGUGUUCGACAACGACUUCAACUUUUAACCCCGUCCUCUUUCUCAACGGAUCUGCGAUUUCAAUGAUCUGAUUCAAACGCGAGGUGAGAUUUGAUUCAAAUGAAGGCGUUCUUAUGGUUAUCGGUGAGGUGGAGCUUCGUAGCUGUCGGAUAUGAGGAACUGGUAAGAGUCACUUGAGGUGGUGGUACCAUGGUGGUUUUAGGCGGUGGUGGAGAUGGGAAGAUGGUGGUGGUGGUUCAUUGAAAUAUAGAUGGGAGAGACAAAACUGAGAUAGAGAGAUAGAGGAGGAAAGAGAACUAAGGUCAGGGUUGUUUAUUUGCUU